RNAcentral lists this ribosomal RNA (476 nucleotides) under Enterobacter hormaechei. RNAcentral's name for it is "bacterial SSU rRNA". It matches the Rfam family "Bacterial small subunit ribosomal RNA", at positions 555 to 1031 of the family's 1533-position model. The record is from RNAcentral. Lineage: Bacteria; Pseudomonadati; Pseudomonadota; Gammaproteobacteria; Enterobacterales; Enterobacteriaceae.
UGGGCGUAAGCGCACGCAGGCGGUCUGUCUAGUCGGAUGUGAAAUCCCCGGGCUCAACCUGGGAACUGCAUUCGAAACUGGCAGGCUAGAGUCUUGUAGAGGGGGGUAGAAUUCCAGGUGUAGCGGUGAAAUGCGUAGAGAUCUGGAGGAAUACCGGUGGCGAAGGCGGCCCCCUGGACUGAGACUGACGCUCAGGUGCGAAAGCGUGGGGAGCAAACAGGAUUAGAUACCCUGGUAGUCCACGCCGUAAACGAUGUCUACUUGGAGGUUGUGCCCUUGAGGCGUGGCUUCCGGAGCUUACGCGUUUAGUCGACCGCCUGGGGAGUACGGGCGCCAGGUUAGAACUCCAAUGAAUUGGCGGGGGCCCGCACCAGCGGUGGAACAUGUGGUUUAAUUCCAUGCAACGCGAAGAACCUUACCUACUCUUGGCAUCCAUAGAACUUAGCAGAGAUGCUUUGGUGCCUUCCGGAACUCUG